Daphnia pulex (common water flea) is the source of this 1366-nucleotide long non-coding RNA. RefSeq lists it as uncharacterized. The record is from RefSeq and is a predicted model, not a curated record. The transcript has 11 exons. Lineage: Eukaryota; Metazoa; Arthropoda; Branchiopoda; Diplostraca; Daphniidae.
UAUUUAAUUUAGACAAAAGAAAGAUUCUCUGACUGACAAAGUUUAUUCUGAUAGAAAUGGGUAGACAACACGCAGGCAAUCUGUUGUUGUGACAGGAAAAACUUGGUUUGAGACUGCUCCAUGAUCAAACGUAAAUGGAGUUGCUUGACAAUUGACUAUCCCUGCGUUUUGUCUAGGCAGUUGCAGACUCAAUGGCAAUCGCAAAGCAAGGCGAUAUAAUCUGGCAUUCGGUGGCUACAUCCUAGUAGAUUCUAAUUUAAGGAUAAUCUAGAUCCGGUCUAUGUCGGCUCUCCAACGUGAAAUUUGCAGUCAGAAGUGGUGGUGGACGUGUCUUGCCAACAAAAUGGAACGUGUAUGUCCGUCGCAAUUCUACAGCUUUUACCGUCAGUAUCACAAUCAUAAAAUCAAGAAAACGUCCAUCCGAAAUGUUUGACUCGGCCUUGACAGCUGAGAGACACUCGACAGUCGCCUAUAUAAAGUAGCCAGUUGUGGAACAGCAUUGGUGUCCAGUGUUGAAGAACUAACAUUUUGACCGUUGAAGGAGAAGCAGCAUCCGUCGGAUGGAAGACGAAAUUGAGAUCGAUGGGCUCGAUUUAAAAUAAGCCCCUUACAUGUCGCUGAGGAAUAAGAGAUUGAUCAGUACCCUUGAAGGCCUUGAACGGAACGACGCAACCGAAAACGGAAUCAGCUGGUCGAUCUGACUUCGUCCGUCCUCCUUUAAGUGACGAGAUUUCAGCACUUUACCCUCUUCACAGUUCCACACAACAAAAUAACCGCCUCCCUGUAAUCAUCAAUUUGUUGCGGCUAACCGGAGAAUGGGAAGAAGAGGAAGAAUCAUCGAAAUUCCAAUGCAAAGAUGGCAUAGCAGCUCCCAUUCCUGGUUCAAUGGUGUUUUGCCUGGAUGCGUCGAUGGCAAUGUCGACGGCCUCGACAGAAUAAACGGCUUCUCUAAUCAUUUGGAGUUGACAACCCGUCGAAUACAGAGACAGCAGCACAUAAUACUGUUAAUUGGUGUUUUGCCGGAAUGCGGGAAAGGCGGUGUCGACGGACGAUGGACGCAUAGGAUAGCAGAACAAACGCCUUUCUGUGAUCGUCAAUUUGUUGCGUCUAACCGGAGAAAGCAUGGAGAUGUAGUGGAUAGGAUGGAGAGAGAAAAACCGUCGAAUUCAACUACAGAGACAGCAGCACAUAUUCCUGGUUUCCAUAUUUCCGUGACGACCUGUGGACAAGAAAUUGCUGCCACUCAAGUGGUUGACAUGGACAUCACUUGGGUUGUUAAUGUAAUUUAGGACAAUCUAUGAUUGAUUAGAGUCAGGUUUGCCCCUUGCCGGAUUUAAAUCAGGUUUACUUCUCUGCACUGUGCCAU